AGGGCCCUAGAAGAGAUUAAGAGAAGAGAAAGUAGCAAGGCCUCUACCUAGAAAUCAUUUUCGUUAAAUGGUUGUCUGAACAAAGUCCUCCCUCCCCCAAAUCCUGGAACCUGGAAGCCUCACCUGCAACUGGAAGCAUGUUGAUCAGGAACUGAGACACAGCCAUUUCUAUCAGACCAUGUACCUGAGAAUGCUUUUCUUGGAGUCCAUCCCAAGCAGAGGAAACUGGACAGAAAGUAGGACAAUCUCAGGAGGAUCCACCUUGGGAGGUGGCAGGGACCAGCCUCUACUGGAGCAGAGGUCCCCCUCAGCCCCUGAGAGAUGCUACUGAGCUGGUGAUGGUGGGGUCACCAAAGGGGGUAAAAUCAGAAAAGAAAUGGACUUAGCCGGGCACACAGUCUGCUCCUGGAACAACGACGCAUCCCCUCACAUUUCUUUGAGCCCAGGAUCAUGAAUCGCCAAAGCAUGAAGCCUGGAAGGAAACUUCAGACUCACCUGAUAUUUUAGAGGUUUCCUUUUUUAUUGUGGUAUAACACGCAUACUGUAAAAUUUACCAUUUCCACCAUU
Molecule: non-coding RNA, 567 nt
Organism: Macaca mulatta (Rhesus monkey)
Lineage: Eukaryota; Metazoa; Chordata; Mammalia; Primates; Cercopithecidae
Source: RefSeq, a predicted model, not a curated record